RNAcentral lists this transfer RNA (71 nucleotides) under Phrynosoma platyrhinos (Desert horned lizard). RNAcentral describes it as "tRNA-OTHER". Lineage: Eukaryota; Metazoa; Chordata; Lepidosauria; Squamata; Phrynosomatidae. The record is from RNAcentral.
GCCAGCGUGGUGCAGUGGUUUGAGUGUUGGACUAGGACUCUGAAGACCAGGGUUCAAUUCCUGAGUCGUCC